This 329-nucleotide ribosomal RNA is filed under the name uncultured bacterium. Its description in RNAcentral is "bacterial SSU rRNA". It matches the Rfam family "Bacterial small subunit ribosomal RNA", at positions 28 to 334 of the family's 1533-position model. The record is from RNAcentral.
GAUGAACGCUGGCGGCGUGCCUAACACAUGCAAGUCGAACGAAGCUUGACGAAUGAUUUUUUCGGAAUGAAUUCUGAUAUGACUUAGUGGCGGACGGGUGAGUAACACGUGAGCAACCUGCCUUUCAGAGGGGGAUAACAGUUGGAAACGGCUGCUAAUACCGGAUAGGUUAGUUUCUGGCAUCAGGGACUAAUUAAAGUUGGGAUACGACACGGAUGGAUGAGCUUAUGGCGUAUUAGCUAGUAGGUGAGGUAACGGCCCACCUAGGCGAUGAUACGUAGCCGACCUGAGAGGGUGACCGGCCACAUUGGGACUGAGACACGGCCCAA